Molecule: ribosomal RNA, 621 nt
Filed under: uncultured bacterium
Lineage: Bacteria
Description: bacterial SSU rRNA
Rfam family: Bacterial small subunit ribosomal RNA
Source: RNAcentral
AUUGAACGCUGGCGGCAUGCCUAACACAUGCAAGUCGAACGGCAGCACAGCAGUAGCAAUACUGUGGGUGGCGAGUGGCGGACGGGUGAGUAAUGCAUCGGGACCUACCUGAACGUGGGGGAUAACGUAGGGAAACUUACGCUAAUACCGCAUACGUCCUACGGGAGAAAGCGGGGGAUCUUCGGACCUCGCGCGGUCAGACGGACCGAUGUUCGAUUAGCUAGUUGGUAGGGUAAUGGCCUACCAAGGCGACGAUCGAUAGCUGGUCUGAGAGGAUGAUCAGCCACACUGGAACUGAGACACGGUCCAGACUCCUACGGGAGGCAGCAGUGGGGAAUAUUGGACAAUGGGCGCAAGCCUGAUCCAGCAAUGCCGCGUGUGCGAAGAAGGCCUUCGGGUUGUAAAGCACUUUUAUCGGGAGCGAAAUACUAUCGGUUAAUAACCGGUGGGGCUGACGGUACCCGAGGAAUAAGCACCGGCUAACUUCGUGCCAGCAGCCGCGGUAAUACGAAGGGUGCAAGCGUUAAUCGGAAUUACUGGGCGUAAAGGGUGCGUAGGCGGUUUGUUAAGUCUGUCGUGAAAUCCCCGGGCUCAACCUGGGAAUGGCGAUGGAUACUGGCA